GCCCUGUGGUUGCUGGACACUGGUUUGUCCCUGCAGUGCUCCAGUUGGUAGCAGUGGGCCGACAGUGAUCCUGUGACUUACGCGUGGAGCCUGUGACAUGUGAGCAGCUUCCACAGCCCUGUCACAGGAACAUUU
This 135-nucleotide small nucleolar RNA is filed under the name Acanthisitta chloris (rifleman). Its description in RNAcentral is "Small nucleolar RNA SNORA84". It matches the Rfam family "Small nucleolar RNA SNORA84". The record is from Rfam by way of RNAcentral. Lineage: Eukaryota; Metazoa; Chordata; Aves; Passeriformes; Acanthisittidae.